This 333-nucleotide ribosomal RNA is filed under the name Triticum aestivum (bread wheat). RNAcentral describes it as "partial small subunit ribosomal RNA". Lineage: Eukaryota; Viridiplantae; Streptophyta; Magnoliopsida; Poales; Poaceae. The record is from RNAcentral.
AUGAUGGAUAGGCCAAGUACUUCUACCAACCCACUCUUCAUCGAGCAAGACAACGACAUGUCAUCAUUCGUCACGAAUAUCCACAUCUUUGGUGCACAACUAGCGUUGCAUCAAGAGCAACAAGCAAUGACCGACCGCAUCGACAAUCUUGCCACUGACUUGCGACUCUCCGAGCAACGUACAAAGGACUACUUCGACAACAAGCUCGACGCUCACAAGCAAGAGAAUGAUGCAGGAAUGGAUGAGAUCCGUGCCUUGUUGUACACCGACAUCGAACACUCUUCGACGAGCCGCGCGUCAAGAUCGUCAUGCAUCUCACAAUCCUCUACAUGA